Molecule: ribosomal RNA, 441 nt
Filed under: uncultured Methanomicrobiales archaeon
Lineage: Archaea; Methanobacteriati; Methanobacteriota; Methanomicrobia; Methanomicrobiales
Description: bacterial SSU rRNA
Rfam family: Archaeal small subunit ribosomal RNA
Source: RNAcentral
CGGUUUAAUCGGACUCAACGCCGGGAAACUCACCAGAUAAGACAGCUGAAUGAUAGUCGGGCUGAAGACUCUACUUGACUAGCUGAGAGGAGGUGCAUGGCCGUCGUCAGUUCGUACUGUGAAGCAUCCUGUUAAGUCAGGCAACGAGCGAGACCCACGCCAACAGUUGCCAGCUCGUCCUCCGGGAUGGUGGGGACACUGUUGGGACCGCCUCUGCUAAAGAGGAGGAAGGAAUGGGCAACGGUAGGUCAGCAUGCCCCGAAUUAUCUGGGCUACACGCGGGCUACAAUGGGUGGGACAAUGGGUAUCGACACCGAAAGGUGAAGGCAAUCUCCUAAACCCAUCCGUAGUUCGGAUUGUGGGCUGCAACUCGCCCACAUGAAGCUGGAAUCUGUAGUAAUCGUGUCUCAAAAUGGCACGGUGAAUAUGUCCCUGCUCCUU